This is a long non-coding RNA of Amphiprion ocellaris (clown anemonefish), 812 nucleotides long. Lineage: Eukaryota; Metazoa; Chordata; Actinopteri; Pomacentridae. The record is from Ensembl.
CAGGCAAACCAAAUUCUGAGCUACAUGAUCAUUUUACAGCCCACUGGGUCACCUGGAAGAUCAAACUAAACGUGCACGUGGUUCGGGCGCAGACCGAUGCCGUGACGACCGCGGACGCGACUGUGUCAAGCAGCACGAUGUCCGUGAACUCCACCAACGCAACCUCGGUGUCACCGGACAACGGCUCCGGCAGCACCGCGUCCUGCACGCUGCUGCUCCCGCUGGCUCUGGCGGCUUCUCUGCUCCACGACUGGUCCUAACGAGCGGACGGCUCUAACCGGACACAUAACGGCCAACACGGGUGGACUGGGGCCGCAGCGGUAGCCUAUUCCAAGAGCAGUCCUUUAAAAUGAUCCCUUCUAAUCAAACGCGUUUGGAUUUCACCAAAGAUUAUUAUUAUUUUUUUUUUUUUUUCUGUCCUCGGUGGGGGAAAUUGUAACAGGAGCGCGCACCGAGUGCAGUCUCCAUUACGCACCAGCCUGGGACGCGCCCUGCUGCUUUACGUCGUUCUGUCCCGUUCUUUGCAAGCGCCCUUCGUGGACUGAAAAUUCCCAUUGUUCUGGGAAACACCGGUCUCUUGGCUGAGGCAGCUGGCUUCUAUGGGGGUGGGAGGAAAGACGGGUAACUUGUGCCCACUGUGCGCUCUAAAAACGAUACUUGAUACCGGAUUCGUUAGGCCUAAAGGUGAUUGUAAGCGAACUUAGAAAAAAUUUGUACCAAAAAAUGAUGGCAAUGUGAAAUGUACUUUUAGACCUUGGAUUUUGUAAGUUCAAUAAAGCUUUAAGCUGUUGGUGACCUGAUGACUUUGCCAG